CCUACGGGGGGCAGCAGUGGGGGAUAUUGCACAAUGGGGGGAACCCUGAUGCAGCGACGCCGCGUGGGUGAAGAAGCGCCUCGGCGCGUAAAGCCCUGUCAGCAGGGAAGAAAAUGACGGUACCUGAAGAAGAAGCUCCGGCAAACUACGUGCCAGCAGCCGCGGUAAUACGUAGGGGGCAAGCGUUAUCCGGAUUUACGGGGUGUAAGGGGGGCGCAGACGGCGAUGCAAGCCAGGAGUGAAAGCCCUGAGCCCAACCCCGGGCCUGGUCUUGGAACUGCGUGGCUGGAGUGCAGGAGGGGAAGGGGGAAUUCCGGGUGUAGCGGUGAAAUGCGUAGAUAUCAGGAGGAACCCCGGUGGCGAAGGAGGCCUGCUGAACUGCAACUGACGUUGAGGCCCGAAAGCGUGGGGAGCAAACAGGAUUAGAUACCCGAGUAGU
RNAcentral lists this ribosomal RNA (439 nucleotides) under uncultured bacterium. RNAcentral describes it as "partial 16S ribosomal RNA". It matches the Rfam family "Bacterial small subunit ribosomal RNA", at positions 338 to 794 of the family's 1533-position model. The record is from RNAcentral.